CAGUCGCCGCGGUAAUACGAGGGGGGCAAGCGUUAAUCGGAAUUACUGGGCGUAAAGCGUGCGUAGGCGGUUUGUUAAGUCUGCUGUGAAAUCCCCGGGCUCAACCUGGGAAUGGCAGUGGAUACUGGCAAGCUAGAGUGUGUCAGAGGAUGGUGGAAUUCCCGGUGUAGCGGUGAAAUGCGUAGAGAUCGGGAGGAACAUCAGUGGCGAAGGCGGCCAUCUGGGACAACACUGACGCUGAGGUACGAAAGCGUGGGGAGCAAACAGGAUUAGAUACCCCCGUAGUCCCUGUCUCUUAUAC
RNAcentral lists this ribosomal RNA (301 nucleotides) under uncultured bacterium. Its description in RNAcentral is "partial 16S ribosomal RNA". It matches the Rfam family "Bacterial small subunit ribosomal RNA", at positions 509 to 807 of the family's 1533-position model. The record is from RNAcentral.